UGGAAGCUGCAAGGGGAGUACGUCCACUUGGAGAUUGUCGUCUUUGGAUUGUUCUGUGAGCCCUGAUCCUCAGAAAGAACUUUUCAUGCCUGUAUGGAACUUGGCUGGAUAAGAUGGUGGCAAGAGAGAACAGCGGAAGAUGGGAGGACAGAACCUCUACAGGCCACUCUCGGAGACUUUCGUCCCUACUUCCUUUUCUAAGGCUUGCUCUUUAUGUGGGAAGGGCUGCCUGGCAGAUACUGUUUUAUAACUGACCACGUCCUCUCCUCUGUAUCUGCAGCUGGAGCUGAGAUCCUCUACGCCUCUUUACCAACAUAUGAAUUUGUUCUGCAGCAUGGUGUGGUUGUGAGAAAACUCAGAGAAAUCCUUCACAAGGGUAAUGUCCUCAUGUGUGCAUCACUUAACAUCACACCUUGCACUGAAUCAAGUCUGGGAUGAUGAUUGAGUUGGAAGGGACCUUAAGUACCAUCUAGUUCCAACCCCCCUGAUGUGGAAAUGGUUGCCAAGCAAUGGGUGCCACCAUCAGGCACUAAAUCAGAUUGCCUAGGGUCCCAUUCAACCUGGCCUUGAAUGUCUCCAGGGAUGGGGCAUCUACAGCUUCUCUGGGCAACCUGUGCUAUGUCUGUGGUCCCUUCUGACCUGCUUCAAUAGCUUUGCAUCUUUUUCUGUUGAGGGUCCCAGACCUGGAUGCUGUACUCUAGAUGGGACCUUGCAAGGGGCAGAGUACAGGGGGAACCAUCAAUUCCUUUACCUGCUAGUUGUUUCUCUGUUGAUGCAGUUGAGUGUACAGUUGGCUUUCACAGAUGUACACUUAGUCCCCAGGGGUCUGGGCAAGGUUCUGCUAAGGUGCCAGUUCCUCCAGCAAGCACAUUAAGGUGCUGCUCGGCUGGCUGCUGCUAUUAUGGCCUUCUCAUGACAGCUGACAACUCUUCAGAUGUGGUAGAGUCUAUUUUGACCUUCUCUUUUGGGAAACUGAUUGCUAGUUUAGUUGUCCUUUUCUGCCCAUUUGAGAUGGUAAUGUGAGAAAUAAGAUCUGACAGCACAUUUUAAGCAUGAGCCCUGACAGAAAUUGGGCAUCUGCACAUCUUUGUGGAACAAGUCCAGCUGGGAGCAGGGAGGGGGGAAGUACUGCUGUGACACUGACCUGGCUCCUGGCACUGCUUUUCAGAUGGAAAUAUAUGGCACCCAAAAGUGAAGUCACCAAAGCUUUCUCGUAAUCCAGAUCUGAAGGGAAAACCUCAGGCCAAUCUUUGCUGGGAAGAGAGGUUCAUCAAAGGCAAAGAAAUAAAAUAUUAUUUUCCUCUUUCUCUGUAAGAAAACCUAUGUAAAAGGUAGUAUUGGGGACGUUUUGCUAAUUCUGGUCCCUGUGCAGUAUUGUGGUGGCUGCCUGGCUCCAGCUCCGAUUGUUCUGGAAGAAAAUCCUCUUGAGUAAAGCAGCAAAUGAUCCAUUUGCAGUGGAGAGUACUGGCUUGGCCAUGUCCAGCUGGGUCCUGGGCUGCAUGUGCAGAACUAUGCUUAAAAGGUAUUAAAAUACAUGAAGUAUUCACCUUUGUGCUAUGUUCUCCACUUAACUCCAGUGGCUGUUGCGGAGACUUGUAUGGUCACGAAGGCACAGGAAGGUAACAGGGAGAAGGUGCAUGUAUGUAUUUUUUCUUCUUUGAAUUUAAGGCUAACACUACAUGCAACAUGGAUUGACUAGGAAAGCCUAGUCAUAGUACUGCAAUAAUAUGAUAUCAUGCGAGUACAAGGUGUCAUCUGGUUUUAAGAAAUGUCACUUAGUUAAACUUCCGUCUACUGAUCUAAAUGCAAUUUCAUUUAUUUUCUUCCCUGAUCACUGCUGGCUGCUGUUGAAAUAAUCAAUCAUUGUUUUCCUCCUUUUGUCACUACGGCAGUAUCAGGCAUGAUGUUGCCCUGCUGGUUGGCCGCAUCCUGUUUAAGCACCAGGUGUUGUGCUUAUCCUAGCAGUUACGUGGCUGUCAGUAAACUCAGCUGAUAGCAUUUUUCCCAUCUGGUCCAAGCUGUGACUUUAGAUUUCUCUUCCUAUCUCUGUUUCUGUGCUAGAGGACAGAAACAGGAGAACCGUGGGCUGUGAGUUACAGAUGCAUUACUUUUGGGGUAAAUUUG
Non-coding RNA from Meleagris gallopavo (turkey), 2124 nucleotides. The record is from RefSeq and is a predicted model, not a curated record. Lineage: Eukaryota; Metazoa; Chordata; Aves; Galliformes; Phasianidae.